This 467-nucleotide ribosomal RNA is filed under the name uncultured bacterium. Its description in RNAcentral is "bacterial SSU rRNA". It matches the Rfam family "Bacterial small subunit ribosomal RNA", at positions 29 to 506 of the family's 1533-position model. The record is from RNAcentral.
ACGAACGCUGGCGGCGUGCUUAAUACAUGCAAGUCGAACGAGGUCCAACCAAUCGCAAGAUUGGGGACGACCUAGUGGCGAACGGGUGCGUAACACGUGAGGAACCUGCCCCGAUCUCUGGAAUAACAAGUGGAAACACUUGCUAAUACCGGAUGCCGUCGGACCGCCGCAUGGCGGACCGCCGAAAGAUUCAUCGGAUCGGGAGGGCCUCGCGGCCUAUCAGCUUGUUGGCGAGGUAACGGCUCACCAAGGCUUCGACGGGUAGCUGGUCUGAGAGGAUGAUCAGCCACACUGGGACUGAGACACGGCCCAGACUCCUACGGGAGGCAGCAGUAGGGAAUCUUGCACAAUGGGCGAAAGCCUGAUGCAGCAACGCCGCGUGCGGGAAGAAGGCCCUAGGGUUGUAAACCGCUUUCAGCAGGGAAGAAAAUGACGGUACCUGUAGAAGAAGGUGCGGCCAACUACGU